Molecule: ribosomal RNA, 199 nt
Filed under: uncultured bacterium
Lineage: Bacteria
Description: partial 16S ribosomal RNA
Rfam family: Bacterial small subunit ribosomal RNA
Source: RNAcentral
ACGCUCGACACCUACGGAAGGCAGCAGUCGGGAAUAUUGCGCAAUGGAGGAAACUCUGACGCAGUGACGCCGCGUAUGGGAAGAAGGUUUUCGGAUUGUAAACCAUUUUAGACAGGGAAGAAAAAAGACAGUACCUGUAGAAUAAGCUCCGGCUAACUACGUGCUAGCAGCCGCGGUAAUCUGAGCGGGCUGGCAAGGC